This 111-nucleotide non-coding RNA is filed under the name Desulfuromonadales bacterium. RNAcentral describes it as "SAM-I sequence". It matches the Rfam family "SAM riboswitch aptamer (S box leader)", at positions 13 to 108 of the family's 108-position model. From Rfam's summary of the family: The SAM riboswitch is found upstream of a number of genes which code for proteins involved in methionine or cysteine biosynthesis in Gram-positive bacteria. The record is from RNAcentral. Lineage: Bacteria; Pseudomonadati; Thermodesulfobacteriota; Desulfuromonadia; Desulfuromonadales.
GUGGUGGAGGGAUUGGCCCUUUGAAACCACAGCAACCGAUCCCUGAGCCGUUUCCACGGUAUUGGGAUGCCAGGUGCUAAUUCCAACCCCCUUUUGGGGGAAAGAUGAGAC